RNAcentral lists this ribosomal RNA (361 nucleotides) under uncultured bacterium. Its description in RNAcentral is "bacterial SSU rRNA". It matches the Rfam family "Bacterial small subunit ribosomal RNA", at positions 29 to 393 of the family's 1533-position model. The record is from RNAcentral.
AUGAACGUUGGCGGUGCGCCUAAUACAUGCAAGUCGAACGGAGACAUUAGCAAUAUUGUCUUAGUGGCGAACGGGUGAGUAACGCGUUGGUGAUCUGCCGCGAAGUGUGGAAUAACGUUCCGAAAGUAGCACUAAUACCGCAUGGUCUUCCGGUUUUUAGAAAACUGGAAGUAAAGGAGUAAUUCGCUUCGAGAGGAGCCUGCGUCCCAUCAGCUAGUUGGUAAGGUAAUGGCUUACCAAGGCUAUGACGGGUAGGGGGCCUGAGAGGGUGGCCCGCCACAAUGGAACUGAAACACGGCCCAUACACCUACGGGUGGCAGCAGUAGGGAAUAUUAGUAAUGGGCGAAAGCCUGAACUAGCG